Scophthalmus maximus (turbot) is the source of this 4017-nucleotide long non-coding RNA. RefSeq lists it as uncharacterized. NCBI's taxonomy places the organism in Eukaryota, Metazoa, Chordata, Actinopteri, Pleuronectiformes, Scophthalmidae. The record is from RefSeq and is a predicted model, not a curated record. The transcript is spliced from 2 exons.
UCCCUUAUAUUUCAUAUUGUCUUAUAUUGUGUUCUGUGUUUGAAACAUUGUUUUAUUCUGGCCAGGUUUCCCUUGAAAAAGAUUUUUAAUCUCAGUGGUAAAAACACAGAUUUAAAAGCGACAGGAUGCCAUUCACUCUGAACUGAACCAUAUCAAAACAUGCUGGUAGAACACACACUCUUACUCAAGAUUGAAGUAGAUGGAAGUGGAAGGUUCAGUUUUAUGCAAUGUCCUCUGAUGUGGCAACUGAGUGAACUAAUUGUUGGCUGCCUGAUCGUUGUCAUGCAGGUUUCACUGGCCAAUGCAUCACAGUCUAGUGGAGCAAAGCUGCAGCAUUGUACUAUACAUUCUCUACUUAUUCUUAGAAUGAGGAAGGGCUUGUCUAUGGCUGUUUGACUGGCAGCCUGAAAUAACAAGAGAAGCUUUUCUUUUGUUUUUCUCAAUGUUGGUAUUGAUGAAAUGCUAGCACUGAGGGACCUUGUGUUCAUGUCCGCAUCCACCAAAAUAAAUGUAUUUUAAGGGAUUUGUAACAACUCGUGAAGUUGCUUGCAGAGGUGAGGUCUUUGGUGCACUGGAUGUCAUUGGGCAGCUCCGUCUCUGCCAGGUCAGUCCCAAAGCUCUGUAACAUCUGGGCUGUUGUUUUCACUGUCAUGGCAAAGUUUUCUAUGGCCUAUAAGGGAAAAAGAUCCAUCUGUGACUAAUACUGACCACUGUUAACCUUAAGUCUAAAGUUGAGCUGAACAAUAUUUAAUGGUGCAAGUUGUGAUGGAAAUUCAAAUUGAGAUGGAAAUUAUUUUGUCUGUGCAAUAAAGACUCAGUCUGUCGAUCUGGAACAAAAGCUUUGGUUUUAUUGAUCUUGCAAGAGGGAGAAACAACAUGCACAAAAAGAUGAAACAACAUGCACAAAUUGAAAGAUUAGUUGUCUGCAUCACACAGAAGGUUUUCCAUACAAGGCGUUGUUUGUUCUCUACUGCGGAAGUGAAACUUCUGUCUGGUACACCACAAAAGUGAAACAGACAGCAACUGUCUGGUACAUCAUGUUCUUUGUUAUCGAUGUUCAAAUGCCUCAGUACAGACAUACAUGAAAAGGUUACAAUUUUCCUUUACAAUGUUUACUUACAGUUCGGUGGUGAAUCCACUGACUGUGACAAUACUCCAGGUUUCCUCCGAGCUCCCUGGUCAGCUGGCCUUUUUCCACAUAGCCAUGAAGGUCCGACAGAGAGUUCAGCAUCACAAUCUGCAAACGCAUCCACUUCAAUUUAGAUCAUGAGCUACAUUACGUAACAUAGAUGACCAAUUGUGCCCUAAUGAGUUCAGUGUAAAAAAGAGACAAAAGAAAUCUACAUUUUCAGUGUCUCUUUAAAGGCCAAGUUGACUGAUUUUAGGAUAUUUCAACAUUUAUCACUUAUGAGUUCACCUACUAAAAACACUAAAAUACAAUAAAUCUUGAGCAACUAUUUAAAUUCAAUUAAAUUCAAUAAUGUUAUAUUAUCAUAUCCUGUUCAUUGUGAAAACUCCAGGGAAGGUUUUGGGGUUAAUAUAAGGUUGAAGAAAAUGUAAAAUCUGCACUGGUUUCGUUGUCAUUUAGUCAGUUCUUUUUCUUGCUUCUAACAGAAAAGACUGGGAGAGUGAAGAUGUGAAAGGAAGUACAAAAACAGAAGGUGCACACUUCAAUAGUUGAGAGGUGAUGGUUGAAAAUCGUGGAGGAAACUAAGGCCCUGUCUUCUCUUCUUCAUUUGCGGAUUUUAUUAAUCUUGGGGGAGAUUCAUUGAAAACACAGGAUGUGUUUGAUAAGCUGAUUCCAAACAUUUUAGGCUCACACGUUUAAAGUGAAUUAUAUUACAUCAACAGAAUAAUAAACUUUAGUGUUUCAUAUUGGCGAAACCAAUUAUUUUAAUAUUUUUUCUUUGUGAUUGCAGCUGAUGUUAGUAUGGUUGGAAACUGUAUGCUGAUAAGUGGUACCUUCAUUUUAAAGUCGUCCUUGUGCAGCUUGAUCCCGAUGUCUGCCAUGGCCCUUUGGAAAAACCUGGACGGCCUCAGCACCAGCACCAGCUGCAGGUUUCCUGGAAAUGCUCCCUACAUAACACAACAGCAUGUAAAGCCAUCCAAUCCAUUCAUUCUCUCAUUUAUUUGGUCAUAUUCCUUUAAGAGGCUAUACCAACCAGAAGGUAAAUGGUGGGACCACAAAAUCGGAAACAGACAUUGCAGCAGCUUACUAUGAAAAAUCUGACAGUGAAUGUCAGUCACUUUUAUUUACUGUGGUAUCUAAAAAUGACUGCAAUGAAUAUAAUGCAGCAGAAUGUAGCUCUCUCUCUAACAUUAGGUGUCGAUGUCAGAAAAGUUCACCAAAACCAAUAUUUCUCGACAGUUUUUUGAGACCUUACUAUCUUAUAUGUAAACAGUUUGUCCAGGGUCAUGACUAGAGGUCAUGAGUACCACAACAGUUCUAAGAGACUACAAUAUCUGUUUUAGUCAAUUUAGUUUUGUUUUGCAUUUGUGGGCUUUAUACUUCUGUAAAUUAGACUUCAGUGAAUACCCAUAGGGUACAUGUUAUCCCCGGCACAUGUAUGUACAAAUAUAACACAAAUAUUAACCACUUGCAUAAUAAAAAUAAUUAUAGAAAGAUUAUUCUACCUAAAUAUGUGUGGUGUAAAUGUGAAUACAGUACAGACCGUAAAAUACAUUAUGGACUCCUACAGAACAUAACUGUCUUUUAAAUUACAAGGUCUCAGUAUAAAAGGCCUAAUUCAUACCUGCUUUUAACAUCCAAGAUGCAAAGGAUUUGUAUUUAUAGCUCCAGCUACAAUAAAUAAAGUACCUACAUUGGCACUCGGUUGGUAAUUUUCUGGCUUCACAAUAAAUGUACAGUACAUCCUUACUGUAUAAGUAAGUAUGUGAAUACUAGGUGUCUUAGAGAACUUACAGCGAUCCUUGACAGAGACGCCUUUACGGAGCUCCAUUUGUCCUUCCGCCGGUCAAUGAUAAUGAUGAAGCCAAUACUUGCAGCAUCCAGACUGGAAACAAACAGGGGGUACAGAGGAUGUAAGUGGGACAGCUACUUUCGACCCGUUUGCCCGUUCAAUCACUUCCACUUUCACCGACAAACCGCAUCUAGUCGCGUCUUUGCAUUGACUCUGUAUGUAAUCUACCCUCGCGAAAAAAUUACGUCGUGUUCGGUGUGAACCGGUGAUGAUACAGAUAAUGAUCACAAAGUGUUUUGAUCAUGUUAUAUAGUUCAAUAUGGUUCCUUUAAAACUACAAGUAUUCUUUUUAUUGUUGGUUUGUUUUCAUUGUUGCACUUUAAAAAAUAUGCUGGUUUAUUAGUAGUUAAUUUAGUAGUAUUAUUCUUCCUAGUUUUUAUUUCUUAUUGUUUGCAUAAUGGAUUAAUAUGGAUGCUGGCUCAUUGUGUUUUCAUUCAAAGUAAUAGCUUAAUUUAUUUUCUGUCCAACUUGGGCUUGGCACAAUUUAAUUAUAUAUUUAUUUAUUUUAGUUUUGAGAGAAAUUUUAUAUUAAGUUAUGUUUAAUGUUUAAAAACCUUCUUUUUACAAUUCAAUAUAAAAAAAAAUUGACGAACACUGCAUCAGUUUAAUUUAUUGACAUAUAGAGGAUCUCUAUUGUUGACCUUGUGUUAUCAUUUUCUAUCAGUUCAAAUUACUUGGGUGAAUCAACUUAUGAUGUUUGAUUUUAAUUUGAGAGAGGUUUUUACGACUCUAGCCUGUUUUCCUCUUAAAAUGCUAUAGAUUGUUGCAUCUUUAUGUAUCACCUAAAAGGGUUAGGAAUCUAUCCAUCGUACUUUGACAAAAUAGGGGCCCCCAAACAGCAUCUUGCAUAGGGCCACCAAAAAGCCAGAAACAGCCCUGCUACUAAUGCAUCCUGUUCCAUCUAUUGUCCUGUUGGCUAACUGUUUAACAUAAGCUAUCAUUCAACAUAUACUGAUUCCAUGAUAACAUUUUAGCAAAGCUAGUUAACUGGUGGUAUGCUUACAUGCUUUAGGGUUCUAUAAAAACAGUUAUAUCC